GGAGAUAUAGCUCAGUUGGUAGAGUGCUUGCCUUGCAUGCACGGCCCUGGGUUCAAUCCUCAGCACCA
RNAcentral lists this transfer RNA (68 nucleotides) under Marmota monax (woodchuck). Its description in RNAcentral is "tRNA.Ala". Lineage: Eukaryota; Metazoa; Chordata; Mammalia; Rodentia; Sciuridae. The record is from RNAcentral.